CUGACGAGUGGCGGACGGGUGAGUAAUGUCUGGGAAACUGCCUGAUGGAGGGGGAUAACUACUGGAAACGGUAGCUAAUACCGCAUAACGUCGCAAGACCAAAGAGGGGGACCUUCGGGCCUCUUGCCAUCGGAUGUGCCCAGAUGGGAUUAGCUAGUAGGUGGGGUAAUGGCUCACCUAGGCGACGAUCCCUAGCUGGUCUGAGAGGAUGACCAGCCACACUGGAACUGAGACACGGUCCAGACUCCUACGGGAGGCAGCAGUGGGGAAUAUUGCACAAUGGGCGCAAGCCUGAUGCAGCCAUGCCGCGUGUAUGAAGAAGGCCUUCGGGUUGUAAAGUACUUUCAGCGAGGAGGAAGGUGUUGUGGUUAAUAACCACAGCAAUUGACGUUACUCGCAGAAGAAGCACCGGCUAACUCCGUGCCAGCAGCCGCGGUAAUACGGAGGGUGCAAGCGUUAAUCGGAAUUACUGGGCGUAAAGCGCACGCAGGCGGUUUGUUAAGUCAGAUGUGAAAUCCCCGGGCUCAACCUGGGAACUGCAUUUGAAACUGGCAAGCUUGAGUCUCGU
This 568-nucleotide ribosomal RNA is filed under the name Pseudocitrobacter faecalis. RNAcentral describes it as "bacterial SSU rRNA". It matches the Rfam family "Bacterial small subunit ribosomal RNA", at positions 88 to 652 of the family's 1533-position model. Lineage: Bacteria; Pseudomonadati; Pseudomonadota; Gammaproteobacteria; Enterobacterales; Enterobacteriaceae. The record is from RNAcentral.